RNAcentral lists this unclassified non-coding RNA (435 nucleotides) under uncultured Pseudotomentella. Its description in RNAcentral is "sequence contains ITS2". The stretch from base 1 to 154 matches the Rfam family "5.8S ribosomal RNA". The record is from RNAcentral. Lineage: Eukaryota; Fungi; Basidiomycota; Agaricomycetes; Thelephorales; Thelephoraceae.
AACUUUUAACAACGGAUCACUUGGCUCUCGCAUCGAUGAAGAACGCAGCUAAAUGCGAUAAGUAAUGUGAAUUGCAGAAUUCAGUGAAUCAUCGAAUCUUUGAACGCACCUUGCGCUCCUUGGUAUUCUGAGGAGCAUGCCUGUCUGAGUGUCAUGAAAUUCUCAACUGCUUUAGCUUUUGUGGUUGAAGUAAAGUUGGAUUUGGAGGAAUAAUUGCUGGCGUAACCUUUUAAGGUUGCUUGUUAGUUACUUUAAAAUUGAUGAACUUUCCAGUAGUGUAAAAGUAACUACAAUGUGAUAAUUAUCUACGUUGGAUGAACUUGUACAAGGAAAGAUGAAUCUGUCUUGGACCCCCUUGACGAAACAAAUGACAAAUUUGACCUCAAAUCAGGUAGGACUACCCGCUGAACUUAAGAAUAUCAAUAAGCGGAGGCU